Long non-coding RNA from Anguilla rostrata (American eel), 2901 nucleotides. RefSeq lists it as uncharacterized. NCBI's taxonomy places the organism in Eukaryota, Metazoa, Chordata, Actinopteri, Anguilliformes, Anguillidae. The record is from RefSeq and is a predicted model, not a curated record. The transcript is spliced from 2 exons.
AAUUCGAUAGUGAUUUUCUAAUAAAGUCAAGGGGAUUUUUUCAGGAUUGAAAAUAAUGGGAAUCAGUUCUGUGAAGCAAUAAGUGUGUCGUUGACCCAGUUGAACAAACUGGGAUGCACAAGAGCAGAUUCCCAGAAGGUUUGUGUUUGUCCAGCUAACCAAGGGUUAGAUGUAUUCCUGACAGCUACAGAACAGGUAAGGACAUGAGGUACAUCAUAGUAACAAUCUGGGUAUUGUUUUUGCUGAAAGGUAUUCUAUUCAGCCACUUCACAAUUAUUUUGAUAACCAAUGAAACAGAUGUGCCAAAAUGUCUGACUUCAGUGAAGUGUUUGAAAAUCAGUGGCAGUGUGUGUGUGUGUGUGUGUGUGUGUUUGUGUGCAUGUCUGCAUGCAAACACGCAGUUGUAGAUGAUAGUGUAUAUUAAUGAAUUAUAUACUGAGUGAUGUCUUGCUUCUAUGUUUUGGAAUGCAGUUUUAUCAGUAGUUUUCAAUCUGUGAGGUCUAUGUUUUACAUGAAUGUCUUGUUUAUGGCAUUAUUGCAGUACAGUAUGUCUGUAGAAGUAGCUGCGGCUGCUCCUGUGGCUGCUCCUGCGGCCUUAAGUAGCUGCCCUACUUACAGAGGAAAUGCAUAAGUGACAUCAAUCAGGUCGCUGCUCCUCUGGGAGAUGCGAUUAAAAAACUAAAAUCACAAGCAUGAAGAAUCUGGGAUAUCAUAAAUCAUAUUUUACAUUCCCACCCCUUUCUUCACCGGGGCGGGGGGGGGGGGGGGAGGGUAUGGACCGCCACCGUUGUCUGAUGUCCCCUGAUCCCACUCGGCUAGACACCCCCAUGGAAUGCGCCCGGCAUUCUGGGGCUUUGGAUUUAAUGAGAGCCCCGCUAUGCAUGGCGUACAGGGCUCAGCCGUGCAAUGGCGCAUUCGAGAAACGGCGGAGGCUUUCUGAGACGGAGCGCCGGCUGCCUCUCUAGCGAGAGAUGAAGGUUUAGUAAGCGGAAUACUGCCGAGAGAUGACACUGCUAAAAUUAACAUGCUGUCUGGUGAGCGGCGGGGUAAAAAUAGACGGCGGAGAGGAGGCGUGUUUGCGCGCAUCGUUAGCGGCCGUGCGCCGCUUCGAGGGCGACGCAGUAAAAAGAUCGCCUGCGCGCUUCUCGUCUGCAGGUACUUGUUGGAGUCGCAGUUCUUAACACCAAACUGCCGCUGUGCAGAGCAGCAGCAUUUAGGUUUUCACUGGAACUACUGAUAAACGGCACAACAUGGGCCUCGGCUGCGCUGUGCUGCUCUUGAGGCUGAGCAGAUGUGUUUCAGGAAGUUUAACAUGUUACAAACUGCACUGACCGCAGUGUGUUAACACAGCCAAUGUUUGUUUGUUCUCACGUCAAAUCUACAGAGUUAUCACUGAUGAGUGUGAACCAUCUUCAUACUUGAUAAUGUAAGCCGUCUGUUAUUUUUUUUUAAAAACAGGCGUUGGUGAUUUAGAUCCCUUAUUAGCCAUUUCCUCGCAGGUAGAGGCUUGCAGAACCAAGCGGAAGCUGACUCUCCUGGUAGCCUCACUCCCACCGCCCCCCCUUCUUAAGUGCAAGUCAGGCUCGCACCUCUUUGGAGGACUAUUGUUUAUUUUUACCAGCCCUUUAAUUGCACCCUUUGAGAGUGAGACUUCUGAGGCCACGAGCUGUUAAUGAAACUUACGGAGAGUGUCUCGCAGAGGUCCCAGCUCCUGACACUUCACUGUGGGGAAACCAGCGGUGAUGUGAGGAGAACCAAAGGCGCCGCUUCAUCCCCGGGACAGAAGACGUCCCCUCUGUCCUCUGUCGGGGGCGGGGUGGCGACGCUCGGUAGGGCCAGAGCCCCUGUGGUCUGGACGCCCUGUGACGGGAGCAAGCAGCUGUUUCCCGGCGCUGCUGCAGCUUGGCGCGUCUGUCCGGAAGUUUCCGCGCAGGGUUGCCACGGUGCGCUGCUGGCGGAGCGACGGGCCGCCGCUGAGCCUGAGUCGCCAAGUGCGGCCUCCCUGAACUGCUGCUUCAGGCGCCCUGCCUGCCUUCUCCUACAAAAGCACUAAGGCCAGAGAGACAGCCAACCGCCAGAUUCCUCUGCCUCACAAUCAUGUUUAAAAACAUUUUUAGAAAUCAGAAAUUAAACCACUUGAUUUAGGAGUGAGGUCUACUUCACUCAAAAAUAGCUCAUUUGUAUUAAUGCCAUCAUAGUGCAUGGAGUGUGUAAUGCUUGGAAGCAAUGAAACAGUUCUGUUUGGGCGCCUCAUUUAAUAGUUUUUUAAUUGAAGGUUCCUUAUGUUUCAAGGUGUUGGUUUUCAUUUUGAUUUUAUUACUGUUGUUUAUUUUAUCUGGCUUCAAUGAAUUCUCACCCCUCACCCCCAGGAGCUAAAUUAGGAGCUCUUAUCUCUAAGAGGCUUACAUAUACGUAAGCCUUACGUGCCACACCACUCCACUCAUCACACGCACACGCGUAUACAAACACACUCAGAAGGGCUGGGCUCAGCAGUGCAUGCUGGGAUGGCAUCCUCCUUCAGGACCUUGCCAAGCUAAUGAGUGACAGCUGCCAAUGCAAAGACGAGAAGGAUGCCAGCGUUCCUACUCCUGUUGAGCCUCGUUCAGAUACCAGCCACCCACUGCACUGCGAACAGCAAUACCAAACGAUCAAAGUUCCGAUUCAUUUCCCCAUGACUUACAAUAAACCAUGAAGGGAAGGGGAGUGACAUAAUCUAUCGAAGGCAUAUUAGCUGAACCACUUCCUUCCCACCCUACUGCAGCCCUUGUUGUUGCUUUUGUAUGCGCUGCUUGCGCUGACAUCUGCUUAAACUCACACAUUUACAGUAAGUACUUCUCACAAGCAAUUCAAAUAAAUGAACUCCAAUUAUUCAGUUCUUUAAAAAAAAAAAAAAAAAGGAAG